Molecule: ribosomal RNA, 253 nt
Filed under: uncultured Paracoccaceae bacterium
Lineage: Bacteria; Pseudomonadati; Pseudomonadota; Alphaproteobacteria; Rhodobacterales; Paracoccaceae
Description: uncultured Rhodobacteraceae bacterium partial 16S ribosomal RNA
Rfam family: Bacterial small subunit ribosomal RNA
Source: RNAcentral
UACGGAGGGGGUUAGCGUUGUUCGGAAUUACUGGGCGUAAAGCGCGCGUAGGCGGAUUGGAAAGUUGGGGGUGAAAUCCCGGGGCUCAACCCCGGAACUGCCUCCAAAACUUCCAGUCUGGAGUUCGAGAGAGGUGAGUGGAAUUCCGAGUGUAGAGGUGAAAUUCGUAGAUAUUCGGAGGAACACCAGUGGCGAAGGCGGCUCACUGGCUCGAUACUGACGCUGAGGUGCGAAAGUGUGGGGAGCAAACAGG